GGAUUAGAUACCCUGGUAGUCCAUGCUGUAAACGAUGUCUACUAGCUGUUGGAUUUUUAUAAAUUUAGUGGCGCAGUUAACGCACUAAGUAGACCGCCUGGGGAGUACGGCCGCAAGGUUAAAACUCAAAUGAAUUGACGGGGGCCCGCACAAGCGGUGGAGCAUGUGGUUUAAUUCGACGCAACGCGAAGAACCUUACCAGGCCUUGACAUCCUGAGAAGAAGCCAGAGAUGGUUUUGUGCCUUCGGGAACUUGGUGACAGGUGCUGCAUGGCUGUCGUCAGCUCGUGCCG
RNAcentral lists this ribosomal RNA (292 nucleotides) under uncultured bacterium. Its description in RNAcentral is "partial 16S ribosomal RNA". It matches the Rfam family "Bacterial small subunit ribosomal RNA", at positions 775 to 1067 of the family's 1533-position model. The record is from RNAcentral.